RNAcentral lists this ribosomal RNA (2847 nucleotides) under Salmonella enterica subsp. enterica serovar Enteritidis. RNAcentral describes it as "partial 23S ribosomal RNA". It matches the Rfam family "Bacterial large subunit ribosomal RNA". Lineage: Bacteria; Pseudomonadati; Pseudomonadota; Gammaproteobacteria; Enterobacterales; Enterobacteriaceae. The record is from RNAcentral.
GGGUUGUGAGGUUAAGCGACUAAGCGUACACGGUGGAUGCCCUGGCAGUCAGAGGCGAUGAAGGGCGUGCUAAUCUGCGAUAAGCGCCGGUAAGGUGAUAUGAACCGUUAUAACCGGCGAUACCCGAAUGGGGAAACCCAGUGUGACUCGUCACACUAUCAUUAACUGAAUCCAUAGGUUAAUGAGGCGAACCGGGGGAACUGAAACAUCUAAGUACCCCGAGGAAAAGAAAUCAACCGAGAUUCCCCCAGUAGCGGCGAGCGAACGGGGAGGAGCCCAGAGCCUGAAUCAGCAUGUGUGUUAGUGGAAGCGUCUGGAAAGGCGCGCGAUACAGGGUGACAGCCCCGUACACAAAAGCGCAUGUGCUGUGAGCUCGAUGAGUAGGGCGGGACACGUGGUAUCCUGUCUGAAUAUGGGGGGACCAUCCUCCAAGGCUAAAUACUCCUGACUGACCGAUAGUGAACCAGUACCGUGAGGGAAAGGCGAAAAGAACCCCGGCGAGGGGAGUGAAAAAGAACCUGAAACCGUGUACGUACAAGCAGUGGGAGCACCCUUUGGGUGUGACUGCGUACCUUUUGUAUAAUGGGUCAGCGACUUAUAUUCUGUAGCAAGGUUAACCGAAUAGGGGAGCCGGAGGGAAACCGAGUCUUAACCGGGCGUUAAGUUGCAGGGUAUAGACCCGAAACCCGGUGAUCUAGCCAUGGGCAGGUUGAAGGUUGGGUAACACUAACUGGAGGACCGAACCGACUAAUGUUGAAAAAUUAGCGGAUGACCUGUGGCUGGGGGUGAAAGGCCAAUCAAACCGGGAGAUAGCUGGUUCUCCCCGAAAGCUAUUUAGGUAGCGCCUCGUGAAUUCAUCUCCGGGGGUAGAGCACUGUUUCGGCUAGGGGGCCAUCCCGGCUUACCAACCCGAUGCAAACUGCGAAUACCGGAGAAUGUUAUCACGGGAGACACACGGCGGGUGCUAACGUCCGUCGUGAAGAGGGAAACAACCCAGACCGCCAGCUAAGGUCCCAAAGUCAUGGUUAAGUGGGAAACGAUGUGGGAAGGCCCAGACAGCCAGGAUGUUGGCUUAGAAGCAGCCAUCAUUUAAAGAAAGCGUAAUAGCUCACUGGUCGAGUCGGCCUGCGCGGAAGAUGUAACGGGGCUAAACCAUGCACCGAAGCUGCGGCAGCGACACUGUGUGUUGUUGGGUAGGGGAGCGUUCUGUAAGCCUGUGAAGGUGUGUCGUGAGGCAUGCUGGAGGUAUCAGAAGUGCGAAUGCUGACAUAAGUAACGAUAAAGCGGGUGAAAAGCCCGCUCGCCGGAAGACCAAGGGUUCCUGUCCAACGUUAAUCGGGGCAGGGUGAGUCGACCCCUAAGGCGAGGCCGAAAGGCGUAGUCGAUGGGAAACGGGUUAAUAUUCCCGUACUUGGUGUUACUGCGAAGGGGGGACGGAGAAGGCUAUGUUGGCCGGGCGACGGUUGUCCCGGUUUAAGCGUGUAGGUGUGUGUUCCAGGUAAAUCCGGUUCACUUUAACACUGAGGCGUGACGACGAGGCACUACGGUGCUGAAGCAACAAAUGCCCUGCUUCCAGGAAAAGCCUCUAAGCAUCAGGUAACAUCAAAUCGUACCCCAAACCGACACAGGUGGUCAGGUAGAGAAUACCAAGGCGCUUGAGAGAACUCGGGUGAAGGAACUAGGCAAAAUGGUGCCGUAACUUCGGGAGAAGGCACGCUGACACGUAGGUGAAGUGAUUUACUCAUGGAGCUGAAGUCAGUCGAAGAUACCAGCUGGCUGCAACUGUUUAUUAAAAACACAGCACUGUGCAAACACGAAAGUGGACGUAUACGGUGUGACGCCUGCCCGGUGCCGGAAGGUUAAUUGAUGGGGUCAGCGCAAGCGAAGCUCCUGAUCGAAGCCCCGGUAAACGGCGGCCGUAACUAUAACGGUCCUAAGGUAGCGAAAUUCCUUGUCGGGUAAGUUCCGACCUGCACGAAUGGCGUAAUGAUGGCCAGGCUGUCUCCACCCGAGACUCAGUGAAAUUGAACUCGCUGUGAAGAUGCAGUGUACCCGCGGCAAGACGGAAAGACCCCGUGAACCUUUACUAUAGCUUGACACUGAACAUUGAGCCUUGAUGUGUAGGAUAGGUGGGAGGCUUUGAAGUGUGGACGCCAGUCUGCAUGGAGCCGACCUUGAAAUACCACCCUUUAAUGUUUGAUGUUCUAACGUGGACCCGUUACCCGGGUUGCGGACAGUGUCUGGUGGGUAGUUUGACUGGGGCGGUCUCCUCCUAAAGAGUAACGGAGGAGCACGAAGGUUGGCUAAUCCUGGUCGGACAUCAGGAGGUUAGUGCAAUGGCAUAAGCCAGCUUGACUGCGAGCGUGACGGCGCGAGCAGGUGCGAAAGCAGGUCAUAGUGAUCCGGUGGUUCUGAAUGGAAGGGCCAUCGCUCAACGGAUAAAAGGUACUCCGGGGAUAACAGGCUGAUACCGCCCAAGAGUUCAUAUCGACGGCGGUGUUUGGCACCUCGAUGUCGGCUCAUCACAUCCUGGGGCUGAAGUAGGUCCCAAGGGUAUGGCUGUUCGCCAUUUAAAGUGGUACGCGAGCUGGGUUUAGAACGUCGUGAGACAGUUCGGUCCCUAUCUGCCGUGGGCGCUGGAGAACUGAGGGGGGCUGCUCCUAGUACGAGAGGACCGGAGUGGACGCAUCACUGGUGUUCGGGUUGUCAUGCCAAUGGCACUGCCCGGUAGCUAAAUGCGGAAGAGAUAAGUGCUGAAAGCAUCUAAGCACGAAACUUGCCCCGAGAUGAGUUCUCCCUGAGACUUAGAGUCUCCUGAAGGAACGUUGAAGACGACGACGUUGAUAG